CGGUGACAAUAGCUGGAGGGUACCACCUGUUCCCAUACCGAACACAGAAGUUAAGCCUCCACACGCUGAUGGUACUUGGCUGGAAACGGCCCGGGAGAGUAGGUCGUCGCCG
Molecule: ribosomal RNA, 112 nt
Filed under: bovine gut metagenome
Source: RNAcentral